GAAAUGCGAUAAGUAAUGUGAAUUGCAGAAUUCAGUGAAUCAUCGAAUCUUUGAACGCACAUUGCGCCCGCUAGUAUUCUAGCGGGCAUGCCUGUUCGAGCGUCAUUUCAACCCUCAAGCUCUGCUUGGUGUUGGGGCACUACGGCUGCCGUAGGCCCUGAAAGGAAGUGGCGGGCCCGACGCGACUCCGAGCGUAGUAGAAUCCUAUUCUCGCUAGGGAGGCCGCGGCGGCGCUCCUGCCGUUAAAGACACCAUCUUUAACCCCAAGGUUGACCUCGGAUCAGGUAGGAAUACCCGCUGAACUUAA
This 307-nucleotide unclassified non-coding RNA is filed under the name uncultured Coniochaetales. RNAcentral's name for it is "sequence contains ITS1". The stretch from base 1 to 105 matches the Rfam family "5.8S ribosomal RNA", at positions 50 to 154 of the family's 154-position model. Lineage: Eukaryota; Fungi; Ascomycota; Sordariomycetes; Coniochaetales. The record is from RNAcentral.